This 896-nucleotide long non-coding RNA is filed under the name Numida meleagris (helmeted guineafowl). Its description in RNAcentral is "lncRNA (ENSNMEG00000007634.1)". Lineage: Eukaryota; Metazoa; Chordata; Aves; Galliformes; Numididae. The record is from RNAcentral.
AGUAGGGUACUGAAUCAUCUUCAGAAGAAAGUGGCCAUGAAGGGCUGCUGACUGGCUGCGGAAUCUUCUCCAUUUUUGCAUACCUUUCUGCAACUGCUUUAGCCCUGUCCUCCUUCAGCUGCGUGGCUUUCAAAAGGUAAUAUUCUGGAAAUUAGGAUCUGAAAUGUGUCAAAUGGGAGGUAACAUUUCAGGGUAGAUCUCUGUUUUUUCUCAUUUCCCAUGGAAACUUUUCUUCCACAAAUACCCAUAAAAAAAUCCUGCUGUAACUAAACACUGGGAUCAGACAUCCUGAAAUCAAAAGAUCUGAUACCACCCUCUAGUACACCAGAGAGUAUCUGUGUAAUGUCAUGAGGUGCCUGAGUUAGUACUCAGCUGUACAGCUACAGCACACAUGGUGACAUGGACAAUCACCAUCUAAUAAAGUACUGGUCUGCCAUACAUGAAUCAGGGACCCAGAUACUUGCAAGUUUGCUUAUGGCUAGGUGCUAAUGCUUUCUUCUUUUUGCCUUGUUAUGCAGGUUUCCUGAAGAAAACUCUGAUGAGGAGAUGAGGAGUUACAGAAAGUCACCAGGAAGGCUGUCACAUCGGGGAAACGCCUGGGUCUACAACCUGUUGAUGUGUCCUGACACACCUAUACAGGAGCUGGCCAGGCUGAAAACACUCCAACAAGCAUUCAUCCUGUCAAGAGACACAGAUCAACAGAAGCACAAACAUUUCCUGGGUGAUUCCGGGAAAUUCAUGGACUCAUCAGUGCUUUGUUUCUCCACCUGUAAGACAUAAAUAUUAAUAAUUCUUUCUUCUUUUCUACUUUUUUUUUUGCCUUUCCAAAGAUUUCAGUCUCACUUUUACAUGUAAAUACAAAUAAAUAUUUAUACAGAAAUAUAAAGUCCUCUUAG